GGACUUGAGCUGAACUGAUGAAAAAAGAAGCAUUUUAGCCAGAAGUUUUGAUUUUUAAAGUAUUUCCAACUCCAGUUUCUAAUUUAAAUUCAAAAGGGAAAAGCCCUCAAAAUGCUAUCUUUAAAAAAAAUCUGGUUUUAUUCAAAUUCUGGUGUGAUGAAAAUCAAAAACUCUUUUUGAGCUUGAAAUCCUUACCCUAAAAACAAAUGCUUUAUGUAACAACUACAUUUUUAAUAGCAGAAAAAUUUAAACCAAAAUUAGUUAUUUGAUGCUAAGCUUUUAUUUUGGUCAGUCUCUGGUCCUAUAUUUAAUCUGACUCCAUCAAGGAUGGGAAAAACUUCAACGGUGAGAAUGACAGCAAGCACAGGAGUGGGGCGUGGAAGGAAAGCCAGGACAGCUGGGCUAGAGCUUGGCUACCUUCAACCAGAUACCUCCAGGGGAAGGCAGGGGAGGAGGAAGACUUUAAUAAUUAGUCCUGGGCUCCCUGGAGCAUUUCCAGUUUGCAAAUUACCACUGCUUUAUUAGGCUCUAAUUCAAUCUGCUCCGGGACAUUGCUUGCAAAAGCCUUUUUGAAGAAGAAGUGUGGGAAGCGCCCCAGUAUGGGGCUCAUGCGUGGCCCGUGGUGGCACACCCUGGAUGGUGCCUGCCCUGGCUGGGUUCCACCCCCGUUCCCCAUCCUUUGCAGGAGAGAAAAAUGUGACUCCAGCGUUGCUGGAGAUCCCUGACUGCAUUAAGUGCCCUUGUGGCAUGAUAAGUCCCACAAUGACAAGAUGUGUAUUUGUUAGUGUGUGUCUAUAGGAUUAGGUUUGCUGGAAAUCGGGGUCUUUUGGGCAGCCUGGGCACUGGUGUCUGAGUGAGGGGCGAGGGAUCCUGCUCUGUGCUGGGAGAGGGAAGAAGCUGAAAGGAUAAUGAAACCCCAAGUGCCAUCAGAGCUGCCCGUGCUCACAGCCCAGCCCAGCACCAGCUCAGCAGCCCAGGCGGCCCCUCCCUGCUCCCCGCGGGAUAACCCAAAAGCCUCCCAGGAUCCCUUCCCAAGACCCUCUAAGUGGAAUAGUUUUCCAGCGCUGUUGGUCUGGGAUCACAUCCAUACCCCGCAGGGAGGUUUGGCUUGCACAGACACACAUGCACACACAGCCUGCAGCCUUGUGCCAGUGGGGUCCACAGCACCCCAGCCUCCCAAAAACUGCCUCCUUCUUCUAGCAGCUGAAAAAGUAGUCCCUAACUAAAACACGGCAAGUCUAAUUUUUGGGUGAGAGCCCACGAGAUGGGCAGAGUUUGACUCAAAACCACCCAUGAAAAGUGUGUGGUUGGACAUUGCCACCCCCAGAGAUGGUUUUUUCCUAUAAGCGUGACCCCUUGGUUUAAAGCUGGAUGAUUUUCAUCAAAGGAGAGAAGAAAUUGAGCGAGAUCCUACAGGAGGACUAAUAAAAGGUGCCAGACUGAAAGACCCUGCCCCUAAACCCUAAAAAAGGGUUAGCCUUGGCUCUUUCCCCCCACUCAUGGCAGAGAGCUCUUGUGCCUUCUGAGUUCACUUCUGAGAAUGAAACGCUCUGGCAAACAGGGUGAAAGGAGAGGGUGGAGAAGAGGGAAUGAAGAGGAUGAAUGGGAGGGAUCCAGCCCUGUUCUUAUCUGAUUGCUGCUGAGUGAGGCAUGAUGAAUUCCCCAGCAACAGGUCUGUUUUGUCAGAAGGCCUCUUAUCAGAUGGCACAAGCCCAGUGGUCUGGCCAUGGCCAUUAAUCACCCAUCAGCAGCUCUCCUCCAAAGAGAAAAGUUUUCCCCCCCCUUUUCCCUGUUGGCCCCAAGCUGCAGCAAGAAACUUCCACCCAGCCAAAGCCCCCCUCCCCCCAAGGAGCACAGGAGAUGGCCCCAUGAUGGGGAUGGUGGAGACCCCACACCCUUCAGAUAAGGGAAUAGAAGUGGGUGUGAGGUGUGGGAGAGCAAACCACCCCAGUCCCACGAGCCCUCUUCUCCUCUAUGUUGAGUGCCCGGGACACAGUGGCAGGGACAUACCCCCGGGAUCAGCUGGUGUCCAUCCCUGAGCUGGGAACAUCCCUGGGCCGGAACAGCAGGGUGAUGGGGCACCCCAGACUUACUGACAGUCCCCCAUUGUCUCACCUUUGCCACCGCAGCCAAAGCUGCAGAGCCUCUGGCACAGCAUCACUCACACCAGGAGCUUUGGGGAGAAGGCUUGGUGGCCAGUUUGGCUCCCACACCAAACCAGGGGCCCUGGCACCCCCCUCGCCUGUGCUCCCUAAUCCCCAGCCUGCUGCUCCACCCUCCCUGCACAGCAGCUGCCGGCUGCCUGGAGCUGCACAGGGCUCUCAGCUCGCUCCGUUUUCUCACGGUGCUUGUCUGCAGCUGGUGGCAAGUGACAGGCUCUGCGAGUUAAGCUCUGGGAAGCCCGUUUUUAUUUUAUAACCUGUCUUUCCUUGUCUUUCCUAGGUUAGCUGGAACUCAGGAGCACAGAUUACCCCAACCUCGGGGUAGCCAUGAGAAGCAACUUUAAUGCAAAGCAAUUUGUCAGAGCAAAGGGAGAAGAUACAAAUGUGCAUGUGUGUCAUCUUGUAAUGUAUGUGGGCAUAUCAGAGCCCCAACAUCAGGGUGGCCCCAAAAGGUGGGAGGAUGCCUCAUGAUCAAAGAUAUCCCUCUGCCUGUGUGACAACCCCUUGCAGCACCUGGACUGUGCACAGCCCCGGACCGCAUGGGGACACCAGUGGGCUGCAAUCCUGCAGGGCUGCAAACUGCUCCAGUAGUGAGACUGUCCCCACAUGUCACCACGAUGGCAGACAGGAGGGAAAUGCUGGAUACCAGCUCAAACAUGGACAUCUAUCAAAUCCAGGCAGGGGUAACCAGUAUCUCUGAGGCAUCCAGGAAUGAGAUUGGUGUUUGAAAGGCAGCAGAGGUGAGGGAAACCAGGGGAGAGGGAAGAGGGGGAUGCUCAGUCCCAUCUGGCCACUCAGCCAGACCAAGAGUGACCAGAGUCCAGCUUUUCCAACCGAUCCACUGAGACACCCUCAUGCAGCAUGCAACUGCCCCUGUAAAACCUUUUGGAGGCUUGGAGCAUGCAAAGGUGAAGUUGCAUGAAGGAGGCAGAUGGGGCUGUUCUUGGGGUCAUGCUGCCUGGAAGCAGAGCAGGAGUGCUCCUGUUCCAGUGCUCUGCAGGAUGCAGCUGGAGUGAGACAUUUGCCCCUGGCCCUGGCUGCAGCGGGACUGAAGGCUGGAAAAUUUCAGUCAGGAGGAGAAAGGAGGGGUCAGUGUCAGGAGCUGUCUGCAGUGGGUUGGUGUUCUCUUACCUCCCUCCACGGCCACGCCAGGGCUGCCGGAGGAGCUGUCUGCGUGCUUUGGGUCUGGUGCCAUCAGCAUAAAGGUGACAUUUGUCCCUUGGUCACACUUUCCCCAUGCCCAGAUGGUGCAAAGUCCUCACUGUCCCUGUGUCAGCUGAGGCACAGAACAGGGAUGCCAACUUGGCAGCUGACAGCAAAGCCAGACGUGGGGGGGUGCAGGCAGGGGGUUGCCAUGUGUGGCUCGUGCUUCAGGGAGCUGAGCACAGUCACCCUCCCUGGGAGAUUUUAAAACUCGCUGUCUUUUUUCACAAAGGGGCCAAACAAGGUUCUUCUGUCCCCUGACACUAAUUUUUCUUCACUCUCUUCUGUGGGACCUCACAUGAGACUGCUGCAGCAGUGGGCCACUGUGGAAUGGGAUUUUUUGUCACACUUCAUGGGAGGGUUACUGCCAGAAAAUUCAGCCUGGAAAAGCAACAGUCUUCCACCCAAGGUCUGACUGAAGGUGAGGUCCAUCACAGCAUGGUGGCAAUCUGUUUGCUCAGCUCCUGGAGCAUCGUGGGUUGUGUCAGUGAGGCCAGCACUGGGCCCCACUGUGCCAUGCCAACUUGAUGUCACAGGAAGGAAAAAUACCCUGAAUGAGAGCUCAUGGCUGUGAGUAAUGGAAAGCAGUUUUCUCUUGUAAUGCCUGGCCAUAGAAUGUCAGAUAGAUGUAAAAGUUAUAAAUACAUCACAGAGCAAAUAAUUACAGCACGGCACUAACUCCUUGCUUCAAGAGAGCUGCUGAUCUCCCUGGGCACCGCCCAGCCCUGGGGAGAUGAGCCAAGAACAACCUGAGGAUGGGACAUAAAUGUGUGCAAACUCCCUUUGCUGGCAGGUGUUUAUCUGCUGCCUCCAGCAGUUUGGGUGGGAGCUGGUGCUUGCAGGGGAUCUCAGAGCUGCCAUUGCUGAGUCUCAUGGUGACAUAGCUGAGCGUGGCUGUGCUGAAGGACGGUGUGUGCUCCAUGGUGUGAUUAGCCAGGUGAGAGCCAAGGGCAGACACAUGCCCAGCUGCGCUGACUGUGGGAGGCAGCAGCCCAUAAGGUUUUAGGGGGAGUAUGUUCUCAUAGCAGGGAACUUCUCAACACGUGGGAGGAACAGCCUCCUCUCAGCUGUACAGCAGAGCACUGUGGAUGGGGUUGUCCAUGUACCUCCCAGUGAACAUGCGUUGAAGGAGAAACAGGAAGAGUCCAGAUGAUCUCCAUCCUAGCCACCACUAUGCAAAUGACACUGGCACAAGGACUUAGGAAGCUCAGCAUCCCCUCAGUACUGAACUGAUGGGUGCAGCGUUCCCAAAGCAAGUGCCUGUGGGUGCUCAGGGGGGAGCAGCCAGAGCAGGGUCCUGCCGAGGACCAGCACUGUCAGAGGGGCUGGGUACACUGCCCUCAGUGCCAAGAAAUUACCCUCUGAUUGCUUGCCAUUGUGGUGGGAUGCCAGAAAUUUCCUAUAUAUACACACACACACUCAUACAUCUAUACAUGGCUGUAACAGUUGAAGCAGACCCCAAACCCUUAUAGAACAUUCCUGAGAAACCUCUUGCUUCUGCAGCGCCAAGACUUCAGAGCAUGGUUUCAGAGCUCCAAAGGUACGACUCAAGGGUGAAACACAAGCCUAGCAUGGAAUUCCUGCAGCAGGGUUUCACAGAAGGGCAAGAUGCAGAGGAGAAGGAGGGCUCAGAGGAACAGGUGCAGGCAGUCUUGCAAUGCUUCCCUCUGUCUACAAAUACACCAGUGGAAAUAGUGAGAGGAGCAGAGAGCAACGAUGCAAUAAAUCUUUUAAAAGAAACAAUAAGAGCAGGACAGCUGGCAUAAAAAGGAGCAUGUUCCCCUGGCUACCAGUGGCUUUAGGAAUGAAAAAAGUGGAGUGAGUGAGGGACAACAUAGUGACAGGGUAAGAGCAAAGAUCCCAGAGAAAUUUAAAUCCUGGGAUCCUGAGAAAGAUUCCCGGGAAAACUGGGUGCUUUUCGAAAGACUUGGAGGAGAGUUAGUCUCUGUCCAGAACACCGUUUGAGGAAAAGAAAUGCCAGAAAUUGUGGUGCGUAAGCUAAAUACUGAAGGAAGAACAGCAAAGAAUACAUAAACUUUUGGGUGUACCAAGGAGGGAUGGGAGGAGAGGGUGCUGAGUGAACAAGUAUGGAGGAAAACCACCCAUCUGAGAUCAUCUGUGUGCUUUACAAAUUGGUGUUUCUUCCCAAAACUCAUGGGGUUUAUGCCUAACCUUCAGUCCCCAGCACCUUAGCCAGAGAAGCACCACUCUAAUACCCAGCUCCAACCUUGGCUCAGUGGUGUCUUGGACGGAGUGUUCAUUUCAUAAUAAUCUGUUUUCUUCUCUGUCCAGCUGUGAAUUUGUUACUAUUUAAUUUCCUUGCCUUACCCUCUUGGUCUGGUAUUGCCAGAGACUCUAACACAGGAUCCUGUGCUUCCCCUGAGUCUCCCCUUCUCCUAUUCACAGACCCUUUCCAACAUGAAAUGAGAAGCAGCUUCCCCCCAGGCUGUCCCUGUGUAUGCCUCCAGCUUGUUCUCUUGGCUACAUUUCUGCUGAGGAACAUGCUGGAAUGCUAAAGCUGUGGUAAUGAGUAACACACUUCUUCAAUGGGACGAAGCUUUCUGAAUGCACUGUGCUUUACAGCUACCAUAAAUAAUGAAAUCAGUAUUUGUAAACUAUACUUUAAGGAAUCCAUUCUUUUCCAGAGAUUUCAAAAGCGUGUCGUUUUCCAUAUUGAGAAGUUUGCCAGUUCAUCUAUUUUUAGAAAUUCUCACUCUACUGAUGUGGUCAAGACAGUCCUUAAACAGAAAAGGAUGGCUGCACGCCUCGAAGGUAUAAACAGCCAGACAUGUGAUGGGAAAUGCUUCAGAGUUUUCAGGCCCCAACUUUAUGUUCCCUGCAUAGAACACCAGCUGCACAGAAGGGGUGUUUCUCCCACUCCACAGUGAGACCUUGUCCUUGUUUGAGAUACACCGGCCAACCGCCAUGGGAAGGGGUCAUCCUAUGUAAUUCCAGGUCCCCUCUUGGCCAUAGACAGUGUCCUGUCUCCAGCUGCAACUCUUCUUAGGUGCUCCCAAGAAACAUGACAAACCCCCUGGCUGCAUAGAACCAGUGCCGCUUUUGGACUGAAGGAGCUCCCUGACUCUUGCAGGUGCUUCGAUUAUCUUUUCAAACUGCUCUCUGCAAAGCUGUGCCCUUUUUGCCUCUCAUUGCAGGGCUUGCCUGGCCAGGUCCUUCCUUUGGCCUCUCCUUGUGUCCCCACAUUCCCCUCUGGGAGCCAAUUUCAGCACUGAUCACUGCAUCCUUGCAGCUCUCCCAUCCUGAUUGCUCCCUCUCCAGACUCCUUAGGCCUGAGCUGGGGCUUGGACUCAAUGUGACUCCCAAGUCUUCCUUUGAGCCAUGACUUUCCUAGGCACCCCUGGCAUCCUGGGCUGACCAUGCAUCUGUUGGGGACCCAUUAGGACUGGGUGUGACCCUGCAGCCAGGUGUGACUCCCUUCCUGGCUGCACAGGGUGAGGUGUACCCCCUAUUGUGCUUUCACACACCUGGGAGAUCAAGCAAUGGUGCUCAACACUUCGCAGGUGGUGACAACCCUGCACUGUGGACACUGGGCUUCUGUGGCAGCAUCCUUCCAGCCCAGGCAGGGGCAGAACUCGCACAAGGGUUUGCAGCUCCCCUUGCAGAAUUUGCCCCAGCUCUGCUCUGAGCUGCCUGUUGGGACAGGAGGCAGCAACACACAAACACCUCCCUGCAUCCUGUCUUCCUCUCAAAUCUGGCUUUUACAAACCAUGAGACUCUGAUCAAACCUGGCCCUGCUCCAAGGUUCACGCAGGCAGUGGUAGGGAGGGAGAAGGAGGGAAGCAGAGAGCAAUCCAUAACCUUUGGAGCACUCUUGAGAGCAGCUGUCUGGCAAAUGUCAAGCACUGUCUAGGGCUAUUUUGGGCACUUUAUUUUUAUAAAGGAUGUUUUGAGGUGGGGGAAGGGUGCAAAGGAGGUUUUCUCAUUGCCACCACCUUAAAGAAUAAAACCCUGGGGAGGAAAAUUCAAGAACCCUCCUUGGUCAUGUGGCCAAUGCCACAUCCCAUUGGAACAUCCCUGGAGGCUUUCAGACACGCAGAUUGGAGAAGGGCCUUGGCUUCUCUUGUGAUUGGAGACCUCCUGGAGGAGCUCAAACCCCUUGAGAUCCAGGGUGAGGAUCAUGGUGUGGACAUGCAAGUACCCUCCCUGCAAGGGGGAUCAGCACCCCAUGCGGCCCAGUCCCAGGAGGACUCUGGGGUGAGAAACCACCAGUUUUUGAAUGUUCCUCCUAAGGAGUCUCAUAAAUAUCCUCUUAAUUAUGGAUGUUUUCCACUGCUGUCCCAUUGAACCCUCCAAGCUCCCAAGAGCCCUCAGACUCCUUCAUCUGCAGCAGAGCCAAGACCCAGAGCCAAGAUAUUACACAAGAAGGAGUAGAGCAUCUGAAAGAUCCUUGCCUGAAAGAUGUAUGGAGCAUAACUGGAGCAUCCAACAGAAAAGCAUUCUUACUGACAAGAAGGGAUGUUCUUCCACGAGCGGAAAUUGUUGCAGAAAAUCAGUGUGUUUGUAAACAUUUCUUCUGGUGAUCCUGAAGAAAAAAGUAGUUCUCAUUUGUAAUAAUUGGAGGCUUCAGUCCCUCCACAAUAUGUCUCUUUAUCAGAGACAAAAGUAGCAUUGAAGUAGGAGAAACAACCCCUCAAUAUUUUUUACUAUAAAAUGGUAUGUGGUGUGUUUAGUGUUUUUAGACUGGAUGAUCCAUUUUAGAAUUAAACUGGGAUCAAACUUGCUGCAAGGAUCUCAGAGCCAUCAGUGGCUGGGAAGAUGUUCUCUUAGUAGCCCAAGACCAGGAACCACAGUACCCAUCUAAGUGAGGAAAAAAGAAGGAGUGGGGAGCUACAAACCACUUCCCAUCCCAGAAAAAUGCUGGCAUGAAUAAUCUGAAGCAGUUUUGUGAGCAUCUGGAAGUUAGCACAGAGAUGAGUAAUACCUGAUAUAACUUUGUCAAGAAUGAGACACGUCAGGCCAAUUUAAUUUCCUUCAGCAGCAGGGUACAAGGAGCCCACAGAUGGCGAAGCAGUGGUGGCUGUGGGAUGGGGAUGCUGUGCCUCCCUUGCUGUAGGACAGGGAGCAGGGCCAGGCAGGGUUCUCAUGAUGGGUGCAGAGGGAGCGAGAGGCAGCUCUCAAAGGCUCACUGUGGGGCUGGAAAGCCACUAUUGAGCACUCCCAUUAACAGCCAGCACGGAGAAACAGAGAGAGUAUUUAUUAAAUUUGCAUGCCACGAAGGGCCAGGGCUGCAGACAGAAAAAGGAUUGUGGCAAACUGGAGAAACGGGAUGAAAAGCUGGGAGGAGGCUGAGGAGGAGGGGAGUGUGCUGUGGCGUGUUCCUGCAAGAAGGGGGCAGGGGAAAUGUCUCCUGGGCUGCUGCUGCCUGCUUGCCACCUCUGCUGCAGCCUGGAGCUAUGGAGGCAGCCUCAGGAGGUGCUGCUGACCGUGCAAAUGCAGACAGGAGAGGUUCCCGUGCAGCCCUACGGAGUCUGCGGUGCCUGGGCAAACACAGGUGACAGCCACCUGUGGGCACCCACCACAUCUGGGCAGGAGUGGACUGGACGAGCUCUGGCACAUGUGAUGUGCCAUGCAAUUUAUACACCUUUAAUUCCCAGCGCUGUGGUCUGAGCCAUUUCUGUAUUAAAUUUAAUCAAUUUAACGCGGGAAGCUGUCAGCACCAGGUGGGUGGCCUCCCUUACGGAUGGUAGUGCAGGUGGGGUUAAAACCAGCAGCAACUCAAACCCUCCUGCACUGGUCCCAGGAAGCUUGUCCCUUGCAGGAAGGGAAGGCAUGCCUAGGAACAAAACCCUGGUAGCCAGCUGCAGCCAGCUGCUUUCUGCCAGUGCUGGGAUAAGGUAUGGCUUAAAGUGAGCUACUGAAGGCCGCAGCGAGAAAUGAAACACAAGUAAAUACAUCUCCCUGCAGCCCCUACCUGCAAUGGGAAGAGGAUGCUGAAGAGGGGAUGAGACUGCAGGAGAGCUGGGCACUCCAGGGCUGAGAACCAGUGGAGCUAUGGGGCAGCUGCCAGCCUGGGCAGGGAUGUCUUUCACCCGCAGCAGCGUCAAACAGAAACGGAAAAGAGUUAACUUCUGUCUUUGUCAGCCUGUGGAGCCAGAGUGGAAACAACCCCCCAGAUCCUGUUUUUCCGUGCUCUCAGAAGAAUGUAAACCUUUUUAAACAAACCCCAAACUUCUUAGCAAAGGAAAAAUAGAAAGAAAAAAAUAAAGCAGGUCCAAACUGUUAA
Molecule: long non-coding RNA, 9609 nt
Organism: Corvus hawaiiensis (hawaiian crow)
Lineage: Eukaryota; Metazoa; Chordata; Aves; Passeriformes; Corvidae
Exons: 2
Source: RefSeq, a predicted model, not a curated record